Homo sapiens (human) is the source of this 948-nucleotide long non-coding RNA. NCBI's taxonomy places the organism in Eukaryota, Metazoa, Chordata, Mammalia, Primates, Hominidae. The record is from Ensembl.
GGAAGUUGCGGCCGACCUCCCCUCGCCUCCGGACUCCGGCCGCGCGGCUGCUCCCCGCUUCCCACUGGCGAGAGGCUGGAGGCGGCGAAGGAGUCGGGGCGCGGGGGCGCGGGGGGCGGGGGGGCGUCUGCCUUUUAACCCUCCCCAGGAGGUCGUGCCUCUGAGCCCCAAAGCUGAAGGCCCCUCUUGGGGGUGGGUGCGGGCCGGAGGGGCCCGAUCCUUUCAGAGCCGGGCCGAGGUGAAGGAAAAGAAGGAAGUCCUUUGAGAUACAUUAUCUCACUGAAGCCUCAGCAACUCCGCGGUGUUCCCAGAGGUGAGGAAACACACUGAGAGACAGAACACGACUUGACCAGGGCCACCCUGUGGGGCACGCUGGCACCUGCACAGCCCAGCUUCACCUGGUUCCAGCCCUGCCCGCGCUCUGCUCCCCACUUCCCGUAACCCUGGGCUGGCGUCAGCAGGCAGGCCUGCCAGGAGGCUGGAGCUGCCAACGACCUAUUUUUCUGGGCAAGAAGAGCCAUUUGGAGUUAGAGGUCUCAGCUGUGAAGCCAGAACAAUAAAAAUAAAAACAGCACGGACUCCUGGGCAGCCUGGACCAGGGAACCAACUGCCCCAAGAGUUGCUGCUCACCAGGCUGGAAGAUGAGGCAGCUGAGACUUCAGGAGGCCUCUGCUCACACGCCACCUCCUUGAGAGGCCUUGCCAGACCACCCUGUUAAAGUAGUCACCCUCACGCCUGCCCAAUAUGCCCUACCCUCUUCCCUAUUUUAUCUUCAUAGCAUGCAUCACGACCUGCUAAUAUUGUGUGUCUCCACUGCAUUUUGUCUGUCUCCCUAACUAGCUCCAGGUCAGUUUAUCCUAGUGGCUUGCACUCCAGCGGUCUCUCAGACUAGCCCCGUGGGGCAAGUUAUUUUGAUGAUCUGUGCUUCCUUCGGGGUAAUGAUAGGAC